AUCCCUUCCCGAACUCAGAAGUGAAACCUCUUAGCGCUGAUGGUAGUGUGGGAUUACCCAUGUGAGAGUAAGUCAUCGCCAG
Molecule: ribosomal RNA, 82 nt
Filed under: Acinetobacter baumannii
Lineage: Bacteria; Pseudomonadati; Pseudomonadota; Gammaproteobacteria; Moraxellales; Moraxellaceae
Source: RNAcentral